Long non-coding RNA from Etheostoma cragini (Arkansas darter), 109 nucleotides. RefSeq lists it as uncharacterized. Lineage: Eukaryota; Metazoa; Chordata; Actinopteri; Perciformes; Percidae. The transcript is spliced from 3 exons. The record is from RefSeq and is a predicted model, not a curated record.
CUUUAAAGGAACACACAGACGUAUUGGGACUAAGCUUAUUCACCCUAUCCACUAGAGUUAGAUAAGUCCAUACAUACCCUCCUCAUCUCUGUGCGUGUCAUAACUGUGU